This 366-nucleotide ribosomal RNA is filed under the name uncultured bacterium. Its description in RNAcentral is "partial 16S ribosomal RNA". It matches the Rfam family "Bacterial small subunit ribosomal RNA", at positions 338 to 715 of the family's 1533-position model. The record is from RNAcentral.
CCUACGGUGGGCAGCAGUCGAGAAUCAUUCACAAUGGGGGAAACCCUGAUGGUGCGACGCCGCGUGGGGGAAUGAAGGUCUUCGGAUUGUAAACCCCUGUCAUGUGGGAGCAAAUUAAAAAGAUAGUACCCCAAGAGGAAGAGACUGCUAACUCUGUGCCAGCAGCCGCGGUAAUACAGAGGUCUCAAGCGUUGUUCGGAAUCACUGGGCGUAAAGCGUGCGUAGGCUGUUUCGUAAGUCGUGUGUGAAAGGCGCGGGCUCGACCCGCGGACGGCUCAUGAUACUGCGAGACUAGAUGAAGGGAGGUGGGACCGGAAUUCUCGGUGUAGCAGUGAAAUGCGUAGAUAUCGAGAGGAACACUCGUGG